This 778-nucleotide long non-coding RNA is filed under the name Mytilus galloprovincialis (Mediterranean mussel). Lineage: Eukaryota; Metazoa; Mollusca; Bivalvia; Mytilida; Mytilidae. The record is from RNAcentral.
CUGUUAUGUAGGUUAACUUUUGUGCGGAUCGGCUGGUUCUAAAUGCAAUGAAUUUUACUCAGACACACCAUCAAACUACGACUCUUAUUUUGUAGAAUAUACAUUCAAUAGGUCUCCUUUAAUUAAUUGUUUUUAACAAAAACUAAGGAAACCUUUCUACCAUAAAUUUGUAAAAAAAAAUAAUAAAAACAAACCUUCUGAGAUGUGUUUAGAUACCCAAAUGAAACAAUAUUCAACAGAGACGAAAACACGAGGAUGUAAACAAAUAUUGGCCAGCACAUGAAUUUCAACAAUGAACAAAUACCUAACAUGACUAAAGUAUAAAAAGCUAUGGCGAGCAAUAAUUUUAAAACAUUUAAAUGAGAAAAUAAAUGGCUUAAUUUAUAUUUUUCUUACGAAAAUCAAAUACGACUGACACCAACUACGAUUAGCACAGGCUACUUACAUGGUGAGAAAGGCUCCUAUAACUUUGAAGGUGUUAAACAUUUUUGUGAGUAUUUAAAUGUCUCCCUAACAUGAGAUAGUCUAUUAACUUCUUUAUUGUUACGACGGUUAUAUUGCCGAGGUCAAAGACUGAAGCCUCAAAUGUAUCCGUCGACCUUCAUUAGUUGAAUAAAAAGCCUAUUUAUAUGUAAACAAAACAAGUGAUUGAGUUAUUUUGAUUAUUCGGAUGAUUUAAAUGUCGUCAAAUUGUCUAAACAUCUUAUACACCAGGUUUCCUUUUCAGAAUCGAAUAACGAAUAAAAGGAUUUUUAUAAAAUCAAUGUUAAAAACCGAC